CCUACGGGAGGCAGCAGUGGGGAAUAUUGCUCAAUGGGCGAAAGCCUGACGCAGCGACGCCGCGUGAGGGAUGAAGGCCCUCUGAUUUGAAACCUCUUUCUGCAGGGAAGUACGGUCACUGUGCUAUUCCUUAGUGCAUUGACGGUACCUGCAAAGGAAGCACCGGCUAACUCCGUGCCAGCAGCCGCGGUAAUACGGAGGGUGCGAGCGUUAAUUGGAAUUAUUGGGCGGAAAGCGAUCGCAGGCGGUAUGUCAAGUCAAGGGUGAAAUGCCCGGGCUCAACGUGGGAACUGCAUUUGAAACUGGCGAGCUUGAGUGUGUGAGAGGAUGGUGGAAUUCGAGGUGUAGGAGUGAAAUGCGUAGAUAUCUGGAGGAACAUCGGUGGCGAAGGCGGCUAUCUGGCGCAUAACUGACGCUGAGGAGCGAAAGCGUGGGUAGCAAACAGGAUUAGAUACCCUAGUAGUC
This 465-nucleotide ribosomal RNA is filed under the name uncultured bacterium. RNAcentral describes it as "partial 16S ribosomal RNA". It matches the Rfam family "Bacterial small subunit ribosomal RNA", at positions 338 to 795 of the family's 1533-position model. The record is from RNAcentral.